GAGAUUCAUUCUUAUUGGUGUUUUUCAUAUUGACAUCAAGUAUUUUUGUUUUGUUUUCAAGAGUAGUUCAUCUCGAUUAAACACGGAAUUAAUUAGUGACUAUCUCAGUUUAUAUUAACUUACUCUUAAUUAUCUUGAUGGCAAUUCAACUUAUCAAUGGAAUCAACUGUUAGUUGACAAUUUUUCUUCAUAGCUAAAGCCUCUUUAGUGACUGUUGUCUUAAGAGCAUAACAUUUAAUCAACCUGAUCUACAUCUUUUAUCGAUUGUAGUUUCACAGCACUUUUUUCAGAUGAAAAAAAAGCCUAUCUUGUCACCGCCAACUCUUAAUGCUUUGAUGCAAAAAUAGGAAUCAAUUUUGAUAUCAAUUGUAACAAAAUCCCAUGAUUUAGGAGCUCUAAUAUCCUGGUGUUAAUUUUCCCGUCUGGAUAAAAGGUUUGUUUCAACAGUAAUUCUGUGAAUUGAAAGUGAAUCAUUUUGAUUUGGGAAACAAAUGAUUUCGUCCCAUGAAUAUAUGAAUUAUGAGAGGUUUUGCUGUGAUUACUCUCAAUUUUACCCUCAGCUCUUCAGUUGAUAGUUUAAUAAACUGAUUCAGAUAUAGAUUAGCUGAUUUUUGUUGAAUAGUUUUUAAUGAAGAGCUGAUAAAUUGGGAAAGAUCAGAGUUAGAUUAUGUUAAAUGAAAUGUAUUUAUCACAUUUUUGUGAUACAUUUCAAGGAUUGAAAAGGUGUUCUACCUUCAAAAAGCAACUAUAAUCAAAGUAAUACCAUUAAGAUUGAUGUCAAAAAAAUCUUUAAUCUCAUUUAAUUGUUACAUUAAUCAAGACGUCAAAACACAAGGGUUUACAUCAAACAUAACAAUUAGUCCUUACAAAGGCCCAACCGAGCAACAGAAACCUAAAGCUGUAUAUGAAUCCAUUUUUACAGUCCUAAGGAGAUGUUUGUAAAAAGCAAGUUAAAUUGUUAUCCUCUCAAUUAAACAAUUUGUACUAAUAAAUAAUGCUUUAUACGUUUA
Long non-coding RNA from Tetranychus urticae (two-spotted spider mite), 1010 nucleotides. RefSeq lists it as uncharacterized. The record is from RefSeq and is a predicted model, not a curated record. NCBI's taxonomy places the organism in Eukaryota, Metazoa, Arthropoda, Arachnida, Trombidiformes, Tetranychidae.